CAGUAGCCGCGGUAAUACGUAGGGUGCGAGCGUUAAUCGGAAUUACUGGGCGUAAAGCGUGCGCAGGCGGUUGUGUAAGACAGGUGUGAAAUCCCCGGGCUUAACCUGGGAACUGCGCUUGUGACUGCACAGCUAGAGUAUGGCAGAGGGGGGUGGAAUUCCACGUGUAGCAGUGAAAUGCGUGGAGAUGUGGAGGAACACCGAUGGCGUAGGCAGCCCCCCUGGGCCAAUACUGACGCUCAUGCACGAAAGCGUGGGGAGCAAACAGGAUUAGAUACCCCGGUAGUCCCUGUCUCUUAUA
RNAcentral lists this ribosomal RNA (301 nucleotides) under uncultured bacterium. RNAcentral's name for it is "partial 16S ribosomal RNA". It matches the Rfam family "Bacterial small subunit ribosomal RNA", at positions 509 to 808 of the family's 1533-position model. The record is from RNAcentral.